CCCCGCUCGCUUGCAGCAGUCACCAAGGUUUCAAAAUUUUCAAGGUUGGAAUCCCUGAACCUAUUAUACAUGCACAAAUGCAGAGAGCAAUGAACAAUGUUUCCUUAUCAUACAAGUUUCAAGAUGAUGCUUCCAACAUCAGACAGCAAUUUAAUAGGCAGUAUCCGGAAGCUUUGAAAAAUAUCAAAUUAUAAUUUGUUCAAACAUCAAAUCUUCAAAUUUUGAUUCAAAUUAACAGUUAAUAGCAUAUAUAACAUGAUCUUCAUUUGAUGGUAAGUUUCCACCAUACCAUCAUGCACCACUUGCGUAUAAUCUGGUCCAUUCCUUUGCUGUCUCAACAGCUUCAGCCUCAUUUGUUUUCCAAUGCUUCGCAAUGUUCUCAGAAAGUGGAUCAUCAGGGUUUGGAGCACUAAGAAGUGC
Molecule: unclassified non-coding RNA, 420 nt
Filed under: Hevea brasiliensis (rubber tree)
Lineage: Eukaryota; Viridiplantae; Streptophyta; Magnoliopsida; Malpighiales; Euphorbiaceae
Source: RNAcentral